AUCCAACUGAUGAGUCCCCAAUAGGAUGAAACGUGAGUCUUGGAU
Molecule: non-coding RNA, 45 nt
Organism: Schistosoma margrebowiei
Lineage: Eukaryota; Metazoa; Platyhelminthes; Trematoda; Strigeidida; Schistosomatidae
Source: Rfam